This 481-nucleotide ribosomal RNA is filed under the name uncultured bacterium. RNAcentral's name for it is "partial 16S ribosomal RNA". It matches the Rfam family "Bacterial small subunit ribosomal RNA", at positions 28 to 523 of the family's 1533-position model. The record is from RNAcentral.
GAUGAACGCUGGCGGCAGGCCUAACACAUGCAAGUCGAGCGGAAAGGCCACUUCGGUGGUACUCGAGCGGCGAACGGGUGAGUAACACGUGAGUAAUCUGCCCUUCACUUUGGGAUAACCCCCGGAAACGGGAGCUAAUACCGGAUAUGACCACCGUCCGCAUGGGCUGGUGGUGGAAACUUUUUUGGGUGGGGGAUGUGCUCGCGGCCUAUCAGCUUGUUGGUGGGGUAAUGGCCUACCAAGGCUUUGACGGGUAGCCGGCCUGAGAGGGUGACCGGCCACACUGGGACUCAGACACGGCCCAGACUCCUACGGGAGGGAGCAGAGGGGAAUAUUGGACAAUGGGCGGAAGCCUGAUGCAGCAUCGCCGCGUGAGGGAUGACGGCCUUCGGGUUGUAAACCUCUUUCAGCACCGAAGAAGCGCAAGUGACGGUAGGUGCAGAAGAAGGACCGGCCAACUACGUGCCAGCCGCCGCCGUAA